RNAcentral lists this ribosomal RNA (492 nucleotides) under uncultured bacterium. RNAcentral's name for it is "partial 16S ribosomal RNA". It matches the Rfam family "Bacterial small subunit ribosomal RNA", at positions 30 to 507 of the family's 1533-position model. The record is from RNAcentral.
AUUGAACGCUGGCGGCAUGCUUUACACAUGCAAGUCGAACGGUAACAGGCCUUCGGGUGCUGACGAGUGGCGAACGGGUGAGUAAUGCAUCGGAACGUGCCCAGAGGUGGGGGAUAACGCAGCGAAAGCUGUGCUAAUACCGCAUGUGAUCUGAGGAUGAAAGCGGGGGACCAGGCAGCAAUGUUUGGCCUCGCGCCUUUGGAGCGGCCGAUGUCAGAUUAGGUAGUUGGUGGGGUAAAGGCCUACCAAGCCGACGAUCUGUAGCUGGUCUGAGAGGACGACCGGCCACACUGGGACUGAGACACGGCCCAGACUCCUACGGGAGGCAGCAGUGGGGAAUUUUGGACAAUGGGCGCAAGCCUGAUCCAGCAAUGCCGCGUGCGGGAAGAAGGCCUUCGGGUUGUAAACCGCUUUUGUGCGGAACGAAAAGGCUCUGGCUAAUACCUGGGGCUGAUGACGGUACCGUAAGAAUAAGCACCGGCUAACUACGUG